Molecule: ribosomal RNA, 503 nt
Filed under: uncultured bacterium
Lineage: Bacteria
Description: partial 16S ribosomal RNA
Rfam family: Bacterial small subunit ribosomal RNA
Source: RNAcentral
AUUGAACGCUGGCGGCAGGCCUAACACAUGCAAGUCGAGCGGGGUGAUGGUGCUUGCACUAUCACUUAGCGGCGGACGGGUGAGUAAUGCUUAGGAAUCUGCCUAUUAGUGGGGGACAACAUCUCGAAAGGGAUGCUAAUACCGCAUACGUCCUACGGGAGAAAGCAGGGGAUCACUUGUGACCUUGCGCUAAUAGAUGAGCCUAAGUCGGAUUUGCUAGUUGGUGGGGUAAAGGCCUACCAAGGCGACGAUCUGUAGCGGGUCUGAGAGGAGGAUCCGCCACACUGGGACUGAGACACGGCCCAGACUCCUACGGGAGGCAGCAGUGGGGAAUAUUGGACAAUGGGGGGAACCCUGAUCCAGCCAUGCCGCGUGUGUGAAGAAGGCCUUAUGGUUGUAAAGCACUUUAAGCGAGGAGGAGGCUCUUUUGGUUAAUACCCAAGAUGAGUGGACGUUACUCGCAGAAUAAGCACCGGCUAACUCUGUGCCAGCAGCCGCCGUAA